UACGUAGGGUGCAAGCGUUAUCCGGAAUUAUUGGGCGUAAAGAGCUCGUAGGCGGUUUGUUGCGUCGGCUGUGAAAUCCCGAGGCUCAACCUCGGGUCUGCAGUCGAUACGAGCAAACUAGAGUGUUGCAGGGGAGACUGGAAUUCCUGGUGUAGCGGUGAAAUGCGCAGAUAUCAGGAGGAACACCGGUGGCGAAGGCGGGUCUCUGGGCAACAACUGACGCUGAGGAGCGAAAGCGUGGGGAGCGAACAGG
This 253-nucleotide ribosomal RNA is filed under the name uncultured bacterium. Its description in RNAcentral is "partial 16S ribosomal RNA". It matches the Rfam family "Bacterial small subunit ribosomal RNA", at positions 524 to 776 of the family's 1533-position model. The record is from RNAcentral.